This 70-nucleotide transfer RNA is filed under the name Lisarda rhypara. Its description in RNAcentral is "tRNA-Lys". Lineage: Eukaryota; Metazoa; Arthropoda; Insecta; Hemiptera; Reduviidae. The record is from RNAcentral.
CAUUAAGUGGCUGAACUCUAAGCAAUGGUCUCUUAAACCAUACUAUGGUAUCUAGAAAUACCCUUAAUGA